GGAGGCAUUCCGGUAGGAAGGC
RNAcentral lists this small RNA (22 nucleotides) under Arabidopsis thaliana (thale cress). The record is from RNAcentral. Lineage: Eukaryota; Viridiplantae; Streptophyta; Magnoliopsida; Brassicales; Brassicaceae.